Molecule: small nuclear RNA, 160 nt
Organism: Rhincodon typus (whale shark)
Lineage: Eukaryota; Metazoa; Chordata; Chondrichthyes; Orectolobiformes; Rhincodontidae
Product: U1 spliceosomal RNA
Exons: 1
Source: RefSeq, a predicted model, not a curated record
AUACAGCAGAUGGGAGAGACCAUGAUCAUGAAGGUGGUUCUCCCAGAAUGAGGCUAUCCCAUUGCACUUCGUAUGUGCUGAUGCCUGCAAUGUCCCAAAAUGCGGGAUACGCGAUAGGAAAAUUUGUGGGAGCAGGGAUCUGCGUUUGCGUUCUCACUUA